RNAcentral lists this long non-coding RNA (3487 nucleotides) under Toxoplasma gondii VEG. The record is from RNAcentral. Lineage: Eukaryota; Apicomplexa; Conoidasida; Eucoccidiorida; Sarcocystidae.
CAAGAUUUCUCUGCUCUAAGCGUCGCACAAGUAACGAGUUCUGGCAGCCAGGGCGCAAAAAGCACUGAACUGCAAACAGCAGUUACAUUUGUGGCAGAAAUUUGUGCAUUUGUUUCGGGUUUUCAAGGGUCUUCCUUUGGCUUUUCGGCUCUUUCCGGACGCGAGACCGCAUGGACUAUGGAACGACAGACUGCGCUCCCCUAUACAAGGAGAUUAGAACUUGGUUCCAUUAAACUAAGAUCCUCCAACGUGAUACCUUACCCGUACGAGCGCACUAGACAGACAGCCGCCCACAUAAUUUGGGUUGUUGAGUGGCUAGACUGAACCUUCUUGCGGUUGGCAAAAAAAAUGGUGGCAAACGUGCCACGAAAAGAGCAGAAACAAGGCCUGUUUCCAGGCUGGAAACUUGCAGAUGAAACGGAAGAGUUCAAGCCCACUUAGAAGGGGAAAGGGUCCAGCUACGAAGAGAUACCGCAGAGAAGACAAGCGUACAUUGACAUGCAAAUUUGUCGCGAUAUGAUCAGCAAGGAGGGAAACAGUUUCAUGAUGAGAGCGUUGUUCUGAGGAGGAAAUGAGAAAUCCUUAAUCUCCAAAAUGGCAAUCGCACAUACCAAACUUUGUUCAACAUGAAGCACGACUUUUCCCGUGUGCCGACAGGACGUCUGCUUCUCUGUUUUUCUCGUAGUCCAAAGACCAAGAGAUCGAAGGAACCCGGUCAGACGAGUUAUUGCCGAAGCCGUACUACCCUUGAAUCGAUAUUUCGUCUUGGAAGCGUAUUCAAAGACAGAUACCCCCAAAAGUUGGUGGAGAAAGAGACUUUUUAUCUCCUAUUUUAUGGACAGUAAUGGAUUUGCGGAGACACAUGGCUGCUGUUGGUUGUUGUUUCUGUUCCACUUAUAUUACCAUGAUCAACUCAUGUACGUUUUGCAGUAACCGCUUUUGCUGCUCCCUGUUUCGUACGCCGUGGUGACUUUCUUGUAUUGUGUCUACACCUUUGCCAACCCACGGACAUCGUUUUUUCUCGUUCUACCUCAUUGAAACACAGUAACUAGGAUUUGUUUCGAUCAUCUGAAUCUCUUUGUGUUCCUCGAUUUCCACAGAGGGUAGAGUCGAGAAACUCCCUUUAAUGUAUUUUUCCCCCCGUGUUUCGGGUUCAUGUGCCACUACUGUGGUGAGCUCUGGUCGUGCUGUCUGCGGUGAUGCGCCUCCUUGGUCAGUCGUAUCCCUUAGUGUAUCGGAUUCGCCUUCUUCAUCUCUGUCCUGUUCUUCGAUGUCAUCUUCUGGGUUUUCUUCUUGCGGUGUUCGCGGUUCCUUCAAAUGCUGCUUCUUUCUCUUCGCCUUCCGUGCACGGGUGCAUUGUGUACUUCCUCUACUGAUGGACACUGCGUCUAAUCCCGCCUCUUCACGGCCUUCUUGGUAUUCGAUUUCAUCCCUUUUUCUGUGCAGGAACUUCCUCAUCUUCCCUGCUGCACCAAUGAUCCCAACGUUUGAUCGUUCUUUCCCUCUAUCUGCGCUAUCCUCUUCGUUGCCUUCUUUUUCCCUCUCGACGGGUGUUUGCCCGUGCUCAAGCACCUUGUCUUUUCCGGCCUUUGACGGGUGCGAAUCAGAGUCAUCUUGACCUAGAUGUUUCCGCAGUUGUCCUUCUAGCUCUACUUCGAGAGGUGUCUGAUUGUCGUUUCCCAUGAAAAUGGAGGAUUUAUGUUCAAUCUGACUCCUGAUCUGUUGAGUUGUGCUCGUGCCCUUGUUUCCUGCAGAGAGAGGAUGAUCCGGUUGGCUCUGGGUAGAGUGUUUCUCCUUCAGUUUCCCUUCUACGUGCCCGCGUUUAUCUUCCUCCUUUGUUCUUGCACACUCCCCUUGCCUUCGUUUGGCCCCUGUCUCCCGUUGUUCCUUCAUGAUAUGCGGUUUUGACUUCGUGACUGCUGAAGCAGAUUGGUUGUUGUCGGCGAUACCCGUAGUCGAGGACCGCGACCCCUCGACCCCUUUCGUCUUGGAAACCAUGUCUUUUUUAGACGCAGUGGCUUCUCCUUCUCCUGCCCAAAUUUCUGCGUUCCCUGCCGCUGCCUGCCGCUGAUAUUCUUGCCUUUUUUGUUUCUUUGCUUGUUUGCGUAAACUGCGUUUUUCCUUCUUGCUCAACUUCGCUGCGUGACUCGUGGCCGAUUCCCCGAACAGAGACGUUUCUGCCGAGUCAGCCUUUCCCUGAAGUUUAUCUUGGAUCCCAGGACCUCUUGCGUCUUCGGCAAACGAUUGUGGCGUUACAGAAUGCGCCUCAACAUUUGUGUCUCCUUUCUUCUUCUUCCUCGUUCUCCGACCAAAGAAACCCAUUGCUGCUGUGGCACCGACGGCUGCUUUCGUAAAAGCCCCCCCGAGUAGUUUUCUCUGAGGCAUCUUCGUUAUUUUGUGUGAGUGCUGUGUGUCGUGUGCCUGAACAGAAUUUUUCGCUUCCGAUCCCUGCUUAAGACUCGGCAUCUUCGGUGCUUUUAGUUUCGCGGGAACCCUGAUUUUCGGCAUCUUUAUUCGCUUAGCCUUGAGUGUACUUUUCUGGAGACCGUGUGCUCGCUUUGUCCAAUUCAGGGCGCUAGGGCAACGACCGAAGCAUGCAACGCAUGCAGAACAACAGUACUUGCUUAUUUGUGCGAGCCGUUUCGAGAGGCUACCAGAGGCUCGGCUGGAGCAACGGAGAACUCCUCCGCACUUCGCUCUGAGGAAGCGCAUGCAUGCCUUGCACGAUUUGCUGAGGAUCCGAGCGAAUCCCCCGCACGCUUUUACGAGACAGGAACAGUACGUUCGCAAGAAGAAGGCGAGAGCGGAAGCGAAACGCCGUGCAAAACCACAGAAGCAACUAAGCCCGACGCGGAGGAAAGGCAAAAGGACGGGACCGAAGAAGACGAGGAGGACUCCCGCCACAACGACUGCGAGGAUAGACACAAUCGUCGCCUUCAAGGCUGCGAAACACGUCCGAACUGCAAAGAGCCAGACAGAAAACAAAGAGAAGGGGAGGUUAAAGAACAGUUGUGCCUUUUCCGAAGAUGAAGAUCCACUGGGGGAAGAAGCGAGUGGCAAACUGAUGGAACAACUGAAGACGUGAGGAGUACAGCAUUCUGCCAGUAAUUUACUUCUGUCGAAAACCAACCCGUCUUACGUGUUUGUUCACACGGUCCAUCUCCACAGACUUUUCCAUGGUGACUGGCUAAAGGUGUAGACGUCUGUUUUGUCUGUGGGAAAAAAGGACUCUAUUCUGUAAGGAAAUGGAGGAUCCUUCUACACUGAUCUCGAACACAGAUACACUACGCCACUGCCUCCUGGCAACCCCUCAACUGUACGAGUGACGAGUUAAUGAAUUCUUUGUGGGGUCGUCUGGUGCUCAGACAUCAUACUCAAGGGGAGAAGAGAACAGUGUGUCAAAGGAACGAAAUGGAUAAUCGGACAAAGCAGGCCGCUAAAAGUGUUGGAUUUCAAUAACUUACGACGCUAAAUUUAUUUCGCAGCG